This 465-nucleotide ribosomal RNA is filed under the name Vreelandella stevensii. Its description in RNAcentral is "partial 16S ribosomal RNA". It matches the Rfam family "Bacterial small subunit ribosomal RNA", at positions 338 to 795 of the family's 1533-position model. The record is from RNAcentral. Lineage: Bacteria; Pseudomonadati; Pseudomonadota; Gammaproteobacteria; Oceanospirillales; Halomonadaceae.
CCUACGGGAGGCUGCAGUGGGGAAUAUUGGACAAUGGGGGGAACCCUGAUCCAGCCAUGCCGCGUGUGUGAAGAAGGCCCUCGGGUUGUAAAGCACUUUCAGUGAGGAAGAACGCCUGGUGGUUAAUACCCAUCAGGAAAGACAUCACUCACAGAAGAAGCACCGGCUAACUCCGUGCCAGCAGCCGCGGUAAUACGGAGGGUGCGAGCGUUAAUCGGAAUUACUGGGCGUAAAGCGCGCGUAGGUGGCUUGAUAAGCCGGUUGUGAAAGCCCCGGGCUCAACCUGGGAACGGCAUCCGGAACUGUCGAGCUAGAGUGCAGGAGAGGAAGGUAGAAUUCCCGGUGUAGCGGUGAAAUGCGUAGAGAUCGGGAGGAAUACCAGUGGCGAAGGCGGCCUUCUGGACUGACACUGACACUGAGGUGCGAAAGCGUGGGUAGCAAACAGGAUUAGAUACCCCUGUAGUC